Molecule: long non-coding RNA, 1098 nt
Filed under: Homo sapiens (human)
Lineage: Eukaryota; Metazoa; Chordata; Mammalia; Primates; Hominidae
Description: long intergenic non-protein coding RNA 2889
Source: RNAcentral
AAGGGUAAGAAGAGGAAUCAUGUGGAAGAAGAGUAAACAUCUGAUGGUGUCCUGGGUAGCUGAAACUGUGGAAAGCAAAACCGUGGAUAAGGGGGAACUACUAUACUGAAAAUGUACAAAACAGAGAAGAUUUCAUUGAAGAAGUCUGCUGUUUCUGGAAUGGGAAAUUAAGGGAGAGGUUCGUGAAGAAGUGAUUGGGAAAGAGAGCAAGUCUUGGUUGGACAGUGUGAUUCAAUAGAAAUGUGAGGAGGAAAACUGCAAUUAUUUCUGAACCUUCCCAUCAGCCUUGUCUCUGAUAGAAUUGGCCUGUUGUGGACGGGCUUUGUGUAGAUUAGAGAAAGAAGAAGAUGCUCUUUUGGUGUAAUUGUUCAGUUCCACAUGGCCGGGGAGGCCUCACGAUCAUGGCAGAAGGCAAGGAGGAGCAAGUCACAUCUUAUGUGGAUGGCAGCAGGCAAAGAGAGAGCGAGCUUGUGCAAGGAGACUCCCAUUUUUAAAACCAUCAGAUCUCGUGAGACUUAUUCACUAUCAGGAGAACAGCAAGCUAAAUCAGUGUGAGACCAAGGACCCUGGGGCUCCUCCAGUCAUUGCAGCUGUAUCACAACUACCCUGACAGAUUUCUUGCUCAGGGCAAGCCACCUGCCAUGUCUUGAGAACACUCAAGCAGCACAUGGCGAGGAAUGGAGAUGGACAGACAUGGGCCAGCAAGAAACAGGCUUGCCAACAACAGCUUGCGUGAUCCUGAAAGUGGGUCCUCUAGCCCCAUGUGACUGUUGCCCUGGCCAACAACUUAACUGCAACCUCAAGAGAUACCUACCCUGAGUCAGAACCACCCAGUCAAACUACCCCUGGCAUCUUAACUCAGAGUAACUGUGAGAUAAUUACUGUGAGAUAAUUAUGAUGAUUUUAAGCUUCUCAGUUUGGGGGUAAUUUGUUAUGCAGCAACAGAUAACAAAACACUUAGCAAAUGUUAUUCCAAUGUUAUUUGAUUGAGGGCCAUAGGGAUACAGGAGAAAAGAAAGGUGAACACUCGGGUUUAGAAAACAAAAGAAAUUACAAUCAAUCAAAUUAUUUUUCUAAUAAAAAGUGGGUACUUUGCAA